Long non-coding RNA from Mauremys mutica (yellowpond turtle), 1375 nucleotides. RefSeq lists it as uncharacterized. The record is from RefSeq and is a predicted model, not a curated record. NCBI's taxonomy places the organism in Eukaryota, Metazoa, Chordata, Testudines, Geoemydidae. The transcript is spliced from 3 exons.
CCAGCCCCGCAGCGCAGGCCGCACCGCAGCUGCGCGCUGCCUCCCCCGGCCGCAAGUGUCCGUGUCCCCUUCGCCGGGCCGGGAGCGGGUGCCAGCUCAGCCGGGGCCGCGGGGAGCUGGGGCGCCUGGCCGGGGGGCAGGGUCAUCGCCCUACAGCGCGCUGCCACGCGGAUCCACACAGGGGGCUGCUAACAGGGAGUUUCGCAAGGGAGUUCUCCAGGUGAAGGAGGAGCUAAUACAGCAUCUGUGGGAUUAUGAACAAACAGGAAAAUGAAGGUGAAGAUGACUGAGUUAGCUGCAGAAGACCAAGGCCAUCAAGAUAUUCAGCCAGAUGGAUGAGGUGGAAGCAGGGGACUGUGAACAGUUCAAACAGUUCCUGCUGCGCAAGUUUGAGCUGACCCCCAAGGCAUACAGGAAAAGGUUCUGGGGUGUGCAGAAGAACCAGGGGAUCACCUAUCUGGAACUGGUCACGCUGAUGGGGGAAUACACCCACAAGUGGGUGAACGGGGCCAGGGCCCAGACAAAGGAGGAUGUGAUUGAACUGAUGGGGCUGGAGCGACUACAUGAACUCUGUUCCCCUGACCUGAGGAUGUGGCUGGUGGACAAGAGGCCGAAGGACCUGUGUUGCACGGGACUGCUGGCUGACGAGUUUGUAGACAGCAGGUCGGGAUAUGGAAUGGAAUGCCAGGGGGACAGGCCCACAUCAGUGCAGAAGGGGUGUGUGGCGGGCCUGGCACCUCACCGCCCCUUUGUGGCAGGGGUGGGAUGGGGUAUCGGAACCUCGCCACUCCCAAGUUCACAUGCUUGCCUCUCUGUGGGUGGCCAGAUGCGGCCUAAUGGCCUGUCUCCAUGCAAUCACCCCUUGGUCAGGGUAGUGGGCCCUAAUGGCUAGAGUACAUGUAAAUCGCUCCCAGCAUUGGAGCAAUACGGCCCAAUGGCCAGAGUCCAUAUAACCCCCGCCAUUGCAGGCGAGGCAGUGUGGCCUAGCAGCCAGAGUCCAUGUAGCUCACCCCAAGAGUCAGGGCUGUGUGGCCUGACAGCCAGAGUCCAUAUAACUUCCCCCUCGCAGGCAGGAUAGUACGGCCUAGUGGCCUGAGUCCAUGUAAAUUGCCCCAAGUGUCAGGGCAGUAUGGCCUUAUGGCCAGAGUCCAGAUAACUCCCCCUUCAAAGGUGGGGUAGUAGAGGGUGGUAGGGGGACCUGGGCCUGCCCUCUCCACCGGGUCCCAACCCAGGGCCCUGUUAGUGGCAAGUUCCCCUUACCCCAAGCUCAGCAGGGAUCCGCCCGCAACACGCCAAGCAGCUGUGCGGCUCUAAUGCCGUUUGCCUGUAAAGUUCCCCAUGGUCACUCCCUACCAUAAAUGUUGGGUUCUCCGCU